RNAcentral lists this unclassified non-coding RNA (494 nucleotides) under Hevea brasiliensis (rubber tree). Lineage: Eukaryota; Viridiplantae; Streptophyta; Magnoliopsida; Malpighiales; Euphorbiaceae. The record is from RNAcentral.
UGAUACCAGAGGCAUCUCAAGUAAAGAAUGCAAUAAAGGAAAGGGAAAGGACUGGAACGACUGAUGAGAGCUUUUAUGGUGUUCCAGUUUUUCAGUCGAGGAGCUUAAUUCUAAGAAGCCAAAACAAGAGAUAUCGGCCUGUUUUCUUCAGGAAGGAGGACCUACAGAGUUCACUAGUAAGAGCUUCUCAGCAGCAAGGGCGAUUGAAUCCCGCUUUGAAAGGAGAUAUUCAGGUUGGCGUUCUGGAGGAUAUAAUACAAGGUAUGAAGGAUUCUUCGACAUCACAGUGGGACGAUGUUGUAUUUGUUCCUCCGGGUUUCGAUGUUUCAGCAGAUCCCUCUCAGAAGUAACAAAUAUGUACACCAUAAGGCCAGAUGUUAGUUGAAACUUAUCAUCAUCACUUUUGAUAUCUUAAUUCCUAUGUGUAUUUUGUAGACUUUGACUAAUGUUAGUAAUGAAACUGGAGCUAGUAGUGUUUGAUAAUUGUAGACAAA